CCCUAUGGGGUGCAGCAGGGUGCGCCAGCAGUCAGUACGAGUCAGAAGGAUGUGUAUGGGCUUGUGCGGGUGGUGUACCGGCAAGGGCAGCGAAUAACGCAGAUAGUGAAGCCGAUAGAGCAGCAGCUAUCGAGCAAGGCGGAUUUGCAGCAUGCGUACAUCGUACGGGGGAAAGAGCAGAUAGCGGUAAAUCUUGAAGCGUUGCUGUAUGGGUCAGCGCAGGAGCAAGAUGUGGAGCUGGAAGCGCAGGACCGGAUAGUCAUUCCGUAUGGGUAUGCGACAGUAAUGGUACGGGGAGAAGUACAGAAAUCGAGUGUGCUUGAAGUGUAUGCGGGGAUGCGGCUUUCUGACGCGGUCAAAGAGAAUCUGACGGGC
This 375-nucleotide ribosomal RNA is filed under the name uncultured prokaryote. Its description in RNAcentral is "partial 16S ribosomal RNA". The record is from RNAcentral.